This 556-nucleotide ribosomal RNA is filed under the name uncultured bacterium. RNAcentral's name for it is "bacterial SSU rRNA". It matches the Rfam family "Bacterial small subunit ribosomal RNA", at positions 344 to 916 of the family's 1533-position model. The record is from RNAcentral.
GGAGGCAGCAGUGAGGAAUUUUCCGCAAUGGACGAAAGUCUGACGGAGCGACGCCGUGUGCGUGAUGAAGUCUUUCGGGAUGUAAAACACUGUCGAGGGGGACGAUAUUGACGGUACCCCUGGAGGAAGCCCCGGCUAACUACGUGCCAGCAGCCGCGGUAAUACGUAGGGGGCGAGCGUUGUCCGGAAUUAUUGGGCGUAAAGGGCGUGUAGGCGGUUCUGUAAGUUGGAUGUUGAAGGUAUGGGCUCAACUCAUACAUCGCGUUCAAUACUGCAGUUCUCGAGAUUGGUAGAGGGAAACGGAACUUCCGGUGUAGCGGUGAAAUGCGUAGAUAUCGGAAGGAACACCAGUGGCGAAGGCGGUUUCCUGGGCCAAUUCUGACGCUGAGGCGCGAAAGCUAAGGGAGCAAACAGGAUUAGAUACCCUGGUAGUCUUAGCUGUAAACUAUGGUCACUAGAUGUUUGUGGUAUCGACCCCAUGAGUGCCGAAGUUAACAUGAUUAGUGACCCGCCUGGGGAGUACGGUUGCAAGACUAAAACUCAAAUGAAUUGACGG